CCAGGAUGUUGGCUUAGAAGCAGCCAUCAUUUAAAGAAAGCGUAAUAGCUCACUGGUCGAGUCGGCCUGCGCGGAAGAUGUAACGGGGCUAAACCAUGCACCGAAGCUGCGGCAGCGACACUAUGUGUUGUUGGGUAGGGGAGCGUUCUGUAAGCCUGUGAAGGUGUGUCGUGAGGCAUGCUGGAGGUAUCAGAAGUGCGAAUGCUGACAUAAGUAACGAUAAAGCGGGUGAAAAGCCCGCUCGCCGGAAGACCAAGGGUUCCUGUCCAACGUUAAUCGGGGCAGGGUGAGUCGACCCCUAAGGCGAGGCCGAAAGGCGUAGUCGAUGGGAAACGGGUUAAUAUUCCCGUACUUGGUGUUACUGCGAAGGGGGGACGGAGAAGGCUAUGUUGGCCGGGCGACGGUUGUCCCGGUUUAAGCGUGUAGGUGUGUGUUCCAGGUAAAUCCGGUUCACUUUAACACUGAGGCGUGAUGACGAGGCACUACGGUGCUGAAGCAACAAAUGCCCUGCUUCCAGGAAAAGCCUCUAAGCAUCAGGUAACAUCAAAUCGUACCCCAAACCGACACAGGUGGUCAGGUAGAGAAUACCAAGGCGCUUGAGAGAACUCGGGUGAAGGAACUAGGCAAAAUGGUGCCGUAACUUCGGGAGAAGGCACGCUGACAC
Molecule: ribosomal RNA, 664 nt
Filed under: Salmonella enterica subsp. enterica serovar London
Lineage: Bacteria; Pseudomonadati; Pseudomonadota; Gammaproteobacteria; Enterobacterales; Enterobacteriaceae
Description: partial 23S ribosomal RNA
Rfam family: Bacterial large subunit ribosomal RNA
Source: RNAcentral